Non-coding RNA from Phrynosoma platyrhinos (Desert horned lizard), 74 nucleotides. The record is from the annotation of a GenBank genome assembly. NCBI's taxonomy places the organism in Eukaryota, Metazoa, Chordata, Lepidosauria, Squamata, Phrynosomatidae.
GACCCAGUGUGGUAUAGUGGUUUGAGUGUUGGACUAUCAGUCUAGAGACCAGGAUUCAAAUCUCUGCUUGGUCA